This 768-nucleotide ribosomal RNA is filed under the name uncultured fungus. RNAcentral describes it as "SSU rRNA". It matches the Rfam family "Eukaryotic small subunit ribosomal RNA", at positions 803 to 1591 of the family's 1831-position model. The record is from RNAcentral. Lineage: Eukaryota; Fungi.
UUUAGCAUGGAAUAAUGGAAUAGGACGUGUGGUUCUAUUUUGUUGGUUUCUAGGACCGCCGUAAUGAUUAAUAGGGAUAGUCGGGGGCAUCAGUAUUCAAUUGUCAGAGGUGAAAUUCUUGGAUUUAUUGAAGACUAACUACUGCGAAAGCAUUUGCCAAGGAUGUUUUCAUUAAUCAGUGAACGAAAGUUAGGGGAUCGAAGACGAUCAGAUACCGUCGUAGUCUUAACCAUAAACUAUGCCGACUAGGGAUCGGGCGAUGUUAUCUUUUUGACUCGCUCGGCACCUUACGAGAAAUCAAAGUUUUUGGGUUCUGGGGGGAGUAUGGUCGCAAGGCUGAGACUUAAAGAAAUUGACGGAAGGGCACCACCAGGAGUGGAGCCUGCGGCUUAAUUUGACUCAACACGGGGAAACUCACCAGGUCCAGACACAAUAAGGAUUGACAGAUUGAGAGCUCUUUCUUGAUUUUGUGGGUGGUGGUGCAUGGCCGUUCUUAGUUGGUGGAGUGAUUUGUCUGCUUAAUUGCGAUAACGAACGAGACCUUAACCUGCUAAAUAGCCCGGCUAGCUUUGGCUGGUCGCUGGCUUCUUAGAGGGACUAUCGGCUCAAGCCGAUGGAAGUUUGAGGCAAUAACAGGUCUGUGAUGCCCUUAGAUGUUCUGGGCCGCACGCGCGCUACACUGACAGAGCCAACGAGUUCAUCACCUUGGCCGAAAGGUCUGGGUAAUCUUGUUAAACUCUGUCGUGCUGGGGAUAGAGCAUUGCAAUA